Molecule: regulatory RNA element, 72 nt
Organism: Clostridium sp. CAG:299
Lineage: Bacteria; Bacillati; Bacillota; Clostridia; Eubacteriales; Clostridiaceae
Rfam family: Fluoride riboswitch aptamer (crcB RNA motif)
Source: Rfam
AUAAAACUAGGGAAUGAAGUUCUCCCAUGGCAAGCCAAAACCGCUGAUAGAGCUGAUGACUUCUGUGACAAC